RNAcentral lists this unclassified non-coding RNA (303 nucleotides) under Malosma laurina. RNAcentral describes it as "partial external transcribed spacer". Lineage: Eukaryota; Viridiplantae; Streptophyta; Magnoliopsida; Sapindales; Anacardiaceae. The record is from RNAcentral.
GUUGCCCCUUUCCGCCCGAUGCCCUCUGUGGGUGUGGGGCGGACGCCAGGCACGCUACGUGUUCCUCGCAUGCCUUGCCUUGUUGCGGGGCUGCUGAGGCCCACGGAGCUGUUGCCCGUUCUCUCGGAUGCGGAACGUCGUGCGCGGGUGCGGGGUCUCGGCCUUCGCUUGCCCGAGCUAUGCAUUUGUCCCUUGACGCGAACGACUGCCGCGGCCGUCUCGACCCCGUCGUAGCCCGCGUGCUGGGCGGGGCUCGUGCGGCCGUGGGCGUCGUCGAGGAAUGCUACCUGGUUGAUCCUGCCA